CGACGUAAAAGCUCGCCAGAGUACCAAUUGGAGGGCAAGUCUGGUGCCAGCAGCCGCGGUAAUUCCAGCUCCAAUAGCGUAUAUUAAACUUGUUGCAGUUAAAAAGCUCGUAGUUGAACUUCAGCCAUUGGUGUCAUCGCGCGUGUCGCCUUGAGUCCGUUGGCUUAUCUUUUUACUUUGAGAAAAUUAGAGUGUUUCAAGCAGACUUUUGUCUUGAAUACUUCAGCAUGGAAUAAUAGAGUAGGACCUUGGUUCUAUUUUGUUGGUUUCUGAACCUGGGUAAUGGUUAAUAGGAACGGUUGGGGGCAUUCGUAUUUAACUGUCAGAGGUGAAAUUCUUAGAUUUGUUAAAGACGAACUACUGCGAAAGCAUUUGCCAAGGACGUUUUCAUUAAUCAAGAACGAAAGUUAGGGGAUCGAAGACGAUCAGAUACCGU
Molecule: ribosomal RNA, 436 nt
Filed under: Babesia sp. 1 ZH-2016
Lineage: Eukaryota; Apicomplexa; Aconoidasida; Piroplasmida; Babesiidae
Description: SSU rRNA
Rfam family: Eukaryotic small subunit ribosomal RNA
Source: RNAcentral